CCACAUUACGUUAAAACACCGUUUCCCGUAUGAUCACCGAAGUUAAGCAAUCCUAAGCCUGGUUAGCAUCUAGAUGGGUGAUCGCUUGAAAAUACCAGGUGCUGUAAG
Molecule: non-coding RNA, 108 nt
Organism: Acanthosepion pharaonis
Lineage: Eukaryota; Metazoa; Mollusca; Cephalopoda; Sepiida; Sepiidae
Source: the annotation of a GenBank genome assembly